GCAGGCUGNAACCCGCCUGCAUGAAGUCGGAAUUGCUAGUAAUCGCGGAUCAGCAUGCCGCGGUGAAUACGUUCCCGGGCCUUGUACACACCGCCCGUCACACCAUGGGAGCCGGUAAUACCCGAAGUCAGUAGUCCAACCUCGUGAGGACGCUGCCGAAGGUAGGAUUGGCGACUGGGGUGAAGUCGUAACAAGGUAAC
Molecule: ribosomal RNA, 200 nt
Filed under: uncultured bacterium
Lineage: Bacteria
Description: partial 16S ribosomal RNA
Rfam family: Bacterial small subunit ribosomal RNA
Source: RNAcentral